UAGGUGGCAAGCGUUGUCCGGAUUUACUGGGUGUAAAGGGCGCGUAGGCGGGCUUGCAAGUCAGUCGUGAAAUACCGGGGCUUAACUCCGGGGCUGCGAUUGAAACUGCAAGUCUUGAGUAUCGGAGAGGAAAGCGGAAUUCCUAGUGUAGCGGUGAAAUGCGUAGAUAUUAGGAGGAACACCAGUGGCGAAGGCGGCUUUCUGGACGACAACUGACGCUGAUGCGCGAAAGUGUGGGGAGCAAA
This 245-nucleotide ribosomal RNA is filed under the name uncultured bacterium. RNAcentral describes it as "partial 16S ribosomal RNA". It matches the Rfam family "Bacterial small subunit ribosomal RNA", at positions 528 to 772 of the family's 1533-position model. The record is from RNAcentral.